AACAGCAUUAAUUGGUAUUACGGUAUACUGUGCAUAUUGGUUUUAUAAGAAAUUUAUAGAACCCUUUCUGUUUGGUCAAAGAAAGAAGAGAAGUGUAGAGGAUAGGGUAACCGAAUUAGAUAAAACCGUCCAAGAUUCCAUGAAAGAAGUGAAAGACUCUAUUUCGAAGGUAGAAAGCGAAGUGCAAAAGCUGACUCAGCAUCAAGCAUUAGAUCCAACUAUCCCACAAUUGGUGCAAGAGCUUAAACACGAUUUAUCUAGUCUAAAAGCUUUACUUUUAUCAAG
This is a long non-coding RNA of Wasmannia auropunctata (little fire ant), 285 nucleotides long. RefSeq lists it as uncharacterized. The transcript has 2 exons. Lineage: Eukaryota; Metazoa; Arthropoda; Insecta; Hymenoptera; Formicidae. The record is from RefSeq and is a predicted model, not a curated record.